CCACGUAAGAUGUGAUUUGCCUCUCCUUGCCUUCUGCCAUGAUUGUGAGGCCUCCCCAGCCACGUGAAACUGAUCACAGGGCUCAGGCGAAGUCCAAGACUGUCAGAGGUGUGGAUAAAGUUAAAAUAUUUAACCUUCUCAUGUAAACAUAAGGGUAGAACCUUCUUCAAACAAGGACCACUGAGUAUAAUUUCCUACGAGAUGAUUUGUGAGUCUCCAUGCAUGAGUCUACGGCUAAGGUUGAAAUUUAGAAGUUGGCAGCAUCUAACCAAGGAAGUAUUGAAAAUUACAAUAAAAUGCCCUAAUUGUCUCUU
This is a long non-coding RNA of Symphalangus syndactylus (siamang), 314 nucleotides long. RefSeq lists it as uncharacterized. NCBI's taxonomy places the organism in Eukaryota, Metazoa, Chordata, Mammalia, Primates, Hylobatidae. The record is from RefSeq and is a predicted model, not a curated record.